ACAGUCGCUUGAAUUUUAGUGAUAUAUGUAUGAAAAAAAAAUAUAGGGCCCCUAUAUUUUACAUAUAACAGUAUUUUAUUUUUUUUAUUUUCAUACAUAUAUCACUAAAAUUCAAGCGACUGU
This 123-nucleotide small RNA is filed under the name Mytilus galloprovincialis (Mediterranean mussel). The record is from RNAcentral. Lineage: Eukaryota; Metazoa; Mollusca; Bivalvia; Mytilida; Mytilidae.